CAACAGCGCUGGAGCGGCCCGCGCCUUGGGAGCCUGGAGGCCGGGCCCCGCCAGGUGAGCCGCCCGGCGGCCCCGAGGCAGGCAGAGGAGCUUCCCUGGCCCCGCUCAGCUGGCCCCGAGCCGCCGGCGGCGGAGGCCCCCGAACACCCACCGCUCCCCGCUCCUGCGGGGCGAGAGGGAACUCUGCGGCGCCACGGCAGGAAAAGGGAAGCUUGAAUACGCGUGGUGAUUAGUACAUACCCGCGCGACUCCACACCUCAACAGCUGUCAGCACCGUCCCGGCCCACCUCACCCUACGGACUCCAGGUCUCUCUACCCAGGUCACAUUCCUCCAUCCAUCCAUCUCUCUCUUAGUCAACCCCCGUUAUCCCCUCCAGUUCUCCUUUCCCCCACUACUCUCUCACACUCACCUGUCACAUAUACUAGUUCAGAUCCUGCACAUUUUGGUGGAAAACCUGUCAGUCUGAUGCUGGGACUCUAAGCCUCUUCACACACUCCCACACCCAGCUAUCUCAAGACUGAUCUCUUGGCUCCAUGUCUGCAAGUCUGACUCCCAGAAGCCUGCUGAUGAUUCUCUGAUGUCCUUGGCCUGCGGUUAGGGUGACUGGGCUGCCACGUGGACGUCACCAUGGCGAGGUUGCUGUUCAGAGUUCUUUUGAGAAGCUCAGGUACAGAACAUAUACCUGAUGCACUUGAACACACACAGGCCACUCACACAGGCUUCAUCUCUGUCUUGUAGCUGUGCUUGCUGCCCGAACUGACAGGCUGCAGAGAAGUUUGCACGGUUCUCUCCCAUGCACACACCCACACGGCGCCAGGCCCCAGGCCAGCCGGUAUUAUUCUGCCUGGUUAGGAUUAGCAGAGUCACUUACCCAAAUAUGUGCUUGGGAGAGAGAGUGAGAAAGAGUAGGGAAGUGGUGAGAGAGAGAGAGAGAGAGAGAGAGAGAGAGAGAGAGAGAGAGGAGAGAUUAAGGGAGAGAGGGAGAGAGGACGCUAUUACCCAUUCUGGGGAAGAACUCACAGACCAGAGCUGAGAGCUGUUUCCAGUUGGUUCGCCCAGGGAUGCUUUCAUCUGGGGUUGAUGGGGAUGAUAGCCUGGAAAUGUCACACCUUGCCUGGGAAAGUGGUGUUGAACCCCUUUUCUGUGCAUUGGCUGUUCCAGGUGUGGGGAUGCAGUGAGGAGCAAUGUGUGAUUUCUGCUCACAGGGAGCCCCAGGUGACAAGUACACAGCCUGUACACAUCUCCCCAGCCCAAGAUGCAGGUGCCAUAGGAGGCAAGAGGAAGAGAGGAGAGAUUUCUGGCUGGGUAAUCUGGGAAGGCCUGGCAGGUAAAGGUCUCGUCCCCCAGGAGAGGCUGAGCUGCCCUUCUCACCCCCACCCCCCGCCCCCCGCCAUGCCAUUGCAUGGGCCAGAAGACAGCAUGUUACUGCCUUAAUCAAGGAGUGCUUUCACCUUUGUACCUGUCAGGUGCCAAGGUAUGUGCCAAGUGUUAUGGUGGACAUAAGAAAAGACCUACUUUCUACCCACGAAGAGUUCUCUUCAGUCUGAUUGGGAAGAAAAACAACACACACUCGAUCCACAACAGAUCAGCAAGCGUUGGUUGUAAUUCAACAAAGUUUUCUGAAGUGUUUACGGUAUGCCAGAAGGAGGGCCUCCUGCCUUCAGCAGGCUGUAUGGCCUUCUCGGCAUGUCCGUGUUUUGGGUGCUCUGUGUUCCUGUCCACCCCUCCUCUCACCCCAAACUCGGGGUGCAUCCUUGGUCAUGUGGGCCUUGGUAAAGUUGACUUACCUAUCAGUGUCUUCUCAGUUACUUGCUGGUCAUCCUUUAAGUCUACUCAAGGAUCAUCUCCUCUUGGAGGUAUUCCCUGGCCCAA
This is a long non-coding RNA of Lagenorhynchus albirostris (white-beaked dolphin), 1873 nucleotides long. RefSeq lists it as uncharacterized. NCBI's taxonomy places the organism in Eukaryota, Metazoa, Chordata, Mammalia, Artiodactyla, Delphinidae. The transcript is spliced from 3 exons. The record is from RefSeq and is a predicted model, not a curated record.